RNAcentral lists this long non-coding RNA (967 nucleotides) under Marmota monax (woodchuck). Lineage: Eukaryota; Metazoa; Chordata; Mammalia; Rodentia; Sciuridae. The record is from RNAcentral.
GAAACCCCCAAAGUAUUUGCUUCCACUAAUAUGCAAGAUCUACACAUUAUGUAAAUUGUGUGUCAGUAGCAAUAUAGAAUCCCAAUAACAUAAUACCAUGCACAUCCAAAUUUAAACUAAUAAGAAGAUAAACAAAGUCAGCUUCUUGGUACUUGACGGUGGUAGAUAUUUUUUAACUCACUAAAGUGACUCAAUCAUGGUAGAAUCAAAACCAGCAAGAGGAAAUGACAGGGAAUUUGAUUGGGGCAAGGUGUGUUUAAGGAGACUGCCCAGAGAUAGCAAGCUUCCCAUCACAAGAGGUUAAGCAAAGGUUGGACAGACAACCAUUUGGCGAGGAUGUCAUACACCAGUGGUUCUCCAGCUUUCAAAAGUAUCAGAAUCACCCUGUGGACUUGUUAAAGCUGAGACGGCUGGCCCCAGAGCUUCUGAUUCGGAAGUCUGAAGUGGGGCUUACGAUUCCACAUUUCAUCCCAGCGCCCAGGCAGUGCUGAUGCUGGUGGUCCAGGACACACUCUGAGAACCACUGUGUCUAGUAGAGGGAAUUCAGAAUCAUGAAUCAAGCUGCUUCACUCCAGCCAAGGGAUGCAGGGCAGAGUCACAUUUCUUUUUACUGUCCUAUCAAACAGCUUGAGUCCAGUUUUUUCCCCAUGAGGCUGGACCUCUUUCCUGCCUGGGGGCUACUGCUGGUCAUAGUCCUAAAUCCUUCCCAUGUGUCUCUGUGCUAAUCUUGAACCUGGGACAAAGAAAGCCACCAUGAGGCUGAAGGACACCACCACUACUCCAGUCACUGGCUUUAAGAUAGGCUGUCAGAGACAGCUCACACCUGGGACUCUACACCCUCUGGCAUCGCUGCCAUGGGCGGUGGGAUGUGCUGUCGAUGGAGGUCAUGACAAAGCCCCAGUCCUCUUCCACCCCAAGUGCCUCAAGGAGGGAAAGCCAAAGAAUCUGCCAUUGCUGCCCGAGGAGC